Phyllostomus discolor (pale spear-nosed bat) is the source of this 1221-nucleotide long non-coding RNA. RefSeq lists it as uncharacterized. The record is from RefSeq and is a predicted model, not a curated record. Lineage: Eukaryota; Metazoa; Chordata; Mammalia; Chiroptera; Phyllostomidae. The transcript has 3 exons.
GCCUAGGCUUAUGACCAGACACACCAUCCAUAUGAGACAUGGAUUUGGAAGAAAGAGUGUGGACAAAAAGGUGCUCUCUGCCACAUGUUUCCUGUGAGAAGAAUCAUUUGUUUGUUAAAUCCCAACUUGAAACAAAAGAGUCCUCUACGUAGCACUAUCAAACAUUUCCCUGUCUGCCAAAGUUGCAGGCUGUGAAGCAUGAUCCGACUUUUCCCCAGAGCAUGACGACGGGGCUGGGAACAAGAAGUCUUUCCUCCUGGACUGAGGCCUCAAGCCAAGAUGAAAAACAAUCAACUUUCAAUUUUCUGUGCUUGUUUGCUUUCUGCCCAGAAUACACAGAAAAGGCAUUUCACCAAACUUUUGGGUUAAGUUUUCAAAGGACAUCUUUCCAUUUCUGCCUGCAAAGGAUUUCGGAGUCAAUUGCUCCUGGGCUUCAGGAGCUCAUUUUUAUUAUUUAAAUGGGGGUGUUUUCACAGCAAAACAACAGCAAAAAAUCCAACUCAAGCCCCUGAACCCACUACUGUUUGCUAAAUGAAGCAAAACACCAUAAUAGUGUUAAUGAUGGAUUUCUUUCUUAACUGUUGUUUUGAGAUCACAACGAAUCACUAUAAUCAUUAAAUCUACAGCUAAAUUAUAGUACAGAUCUUCGAAGUGCAUGGCCAAUAUGGUUUGUUUCAUAACACCCUCUCCUCUGCACCCCUUUGUCCCUUGUUAUUAUUCUUCUCAGAUUAUUUUCUGUGAAAAACUGGCUUAAUAUAUUCGAAGUCACACUUGUGAACAGCUUUGUUACCUUCUUGCAUGCCUAUCCCUCCCCUGCACCCCAGAGCCACUUUCCUAAGAAAUGCAGACAGCAGACAGCUAAACUAAGGGGUUUAAAUCAGUGCCGACUCACCUGCACGACCAAGUGUAGGAGGGGUGGGGACACAGCCUGUGGAGUUGGGGCCCUCCCAACACUUCUGCAUAAGUAGGGGCUCUCACCACGUACCUUCCACUAAAUCUAGCAAAGGUGGAGGAUGUGUGGGCAGAUGCUGCUCUCUGAAGGAAGCUAGUAGAGUUGGGAUUCACUUCUCUUCUUAGCUCUGCGGCUUACUCCCUCCGCAGCCAAUUCAGUCCUACACAAAAGGAGGUAAGGAAGCAUGUUUUCUAUUUCUGGCCCAGGCAGUGUGGGGCCAGGAACAAUAUGGAUUGUGUGGGUAUUGAGGAAGUGCAUGGGGCCUCUCA